RNAcentral lists this ribosomal RNA (253 nucleotides) under uncultured bacterium. RNAcentral describes it as "partial 16S ribosomal RNA". It matches the Rfam family "Bacterial small subunit ribosomal RNA", at positions 524 to 776 of the family's 1533-position model. The record is from RNAcentral.
UACGUAGGGUGCGAGCGUUAAUCGGAAUUACUGGGCGUAAAGUGUGCGCAGGCGGCCGCGCAAGUCGAGUGUGAAAUCCCCGAGCUUAACUUGGGAAUUGCGCUCGAAACUACGUGGCUGGAGUGUGGCAGAGGAAGGUGGAAUUCCACGUGUAGCGGUGAAAUGCGUAGAGAUGUGGAGGAAUACCGAUGGCGAAGGCAGCCCCCUGGGAUAACACUGACGCUCAUGCACGAAAGCGUGGGGAGCAAACAGG